RNAcentral lists this ribosomal RNA (497 nucleotides) under uncultured bacterium. RNAcentral's name for it is "partial 16S ribosomal RNA". It matches the Rfam family "Bacterial small subunit ribosomal RNA", at positions 28 to 507 of the family's 1533-position model. The record is from RNAcentral.
GAUGAACGCUGGCGGCGUGCCUAAUACAUGCAAGUCGAGCGAACGGACGAGAAGCUUGCUUCUCUGAUGUUAGCGGCGGACGGGUGAGUAACACGUGGAUAACCUACCUAUAAGACUGGGAUAACUUCGGGAAACCGGAGCUAAUACCGGAUGAUAUUUUGAACCGCAUGGUUCAAAAGUGAAAGACGGUCUUGCUGUCACUUAUAGAUGGAUCCGCGCUGCAUUAGCUAGUUGGUAAGGUAACGGCUUACCAAGGCAACGAUGCAUAGCCGACCUGAGAGGGUGAUAGGCCACACGGGAACUGAGACACGGUCCAGACUCCUACGGGAGGCAGCAGUAGGGAAUCUUCCGCAAUGGGCGAAAGCAUGACGGAGCAACGCCGCGUGAGUGAUGAAGGUCUUCGGAUCGUAAAACUCUGUUAUUAGGGAAGAACAUAUGUGUAAGUAACUGUGCACAUCUUGACGGUACCUAAUCAGAAAGCCACGGCUAACUACGUG